AGUCUGACCAGCGACGCCGCGUGAUGAUGAAGGCCUUCGGAUCGUAAAGCUCUUUCAGCGGGAGGUAAGUGUAUGUACGUGUAUGUGCAUAUUUGGACUUUACCUCUCAAAGACAGCCCCGGUUAACUCCGGGCCCCCCGCCGCGGCAAUACGGAGGGGGCAAGCCUUGAUCUAUUGGACUGGGCGGGUGCGGCACCUAGGUGGCGUUUCAAGUCACUGGUCAAAAACGAGAGCUUAACUUUCGGCAUGCCGGUGAAACUGGAUUGCUUUAGUAUCGGAGAGGAAUGCGGAAUAUCUGGUGUAGCGGUGGAAUGCGUAGAUAUCAAAUGGAACACCGUUUGCAAAGGCGGCUUUCUGGCCGAUAACUGACACUGAGGUGCAAAACCUUGGGUAGCAAACAGGAUUAAAUACCCUGGUAUUCCACCCUGUAAACAAUGGAUACUAGAUGUCGGAAAUAAUUUGUGGUGUCCCAACUAACACAUUAAAUAUCCCGCCGGGGGAGUACGUACGCAAGUAUGAAACUCGAGGGAUUUGGCGG
Molecule: ribosomal RNA, 538 nt
Filed under: uncultured bacterium
Lineage: Bacteria
Description: bacterial SSU rRNA
Rfam family: Bacterial small subunit ribosomal RNA
Source: RNAcentral